UCCUACAGCCAUACCACCCUCAGCGCUCCCAAACUCAUCUGUUCUCAGAAGCUAAGCAGAGUCAGCCUGGUCAGUACUUGGAUGGGAGACCAAAUGAUCAAAUUUGAUGACCCUGUAAUGC
Non-coding RNA from Fukomys damarensis (Damara mole-rat), 121 nucleotides. The record is from Rfam. Lineage: Eukaryota; Metazoa; Chordata; Mammalia; Rodentia; Bathyergidae.